RNAcentral lists this ribosomal RNA (238 nucleotides) under uncultured bacterium. Its description in RNAcentral is "partial 16S ribosomal RNA". It matches the Rfam family "Bacterial small subunit ribosomal RNA", at positions 333 to 568 of the family's 1533-position model. The record is from RNAcentral.
CGGUGCCUACGGGGGGCAGCAGUGAGGAAUAUUGGUCAAUGGCCGAGAGGCUGAACCAGCCAAGUCGCGUGAGGGAAGAAUGUCCUAUGGAUUGUACACCUCUUUUGUCAGGGAGCAAAGUCACCCACGAGUGGGUGUUGGAGAGUACCUGAAGAAAAAGCAUCGGCUAACUCCGUGCCAGCAGCCGCGGUAAUACGGAGGAUGCAAGCGUUAUCCGGAUUUAUUGGGAUUAAAGGGU